Molecule: long non-coding RNA, 905 nt
Filed under: Neogobius melanostomus (round goby)
Lineage: Eukaryota; Metazoa; Chordata; Actinopteri; Gobiiformes; Gobiidae
Description: lncRNA (ENSNMLG00000013787.1)
Source: RNAcentral
UAGUUACACACUAAAAAAUGCUGGGUUAUUUUAACAACCCAACUGCUGGGUUAUGGCUGUUGGGUCAUUUUGUUGGGUUAUUUUCAUAGAGUUGGGUUGUUUUUUUCCUACCCAGCAGGUUGGGUCAAAACCACUGAGCUCAACUGUCAGCAGCGGCCAUUACUGCUCCUCCACCGCCUCCGAUUGAAACUGCUCAUAAAGAUCAACUUUACCCUCUCCAUGUGGGACCUCCAGAGCUGAUAAAUGCCACUAAAGCUUUACAGGUAAGCAGCAGUUUUAUAAUGAUCAGAAAUGUUUUAUUCUCUGUUUAAUUCAUUUGCUAAAAUACAAACUUGUGUUAAUGGGUGUCCUACAGAAAACAAACUCUCCUGAGCUCAUCCAACAGCUCUGUCUGUCUGAAGAUCAUCAUCUGCAUCACUGGACACCAGUCCCAUGGAAUCUUCAGCUCAGUGGAAGUGUCCGCCUGCCUCUGAGACGAUGCCUCUGUUACUUCACCAAGGUAAGAUCUUACAUUAUACUGUCACUGUCUUAUGGGAAGGUUGGUGUCCCUGGUGGAGUAAUGGUUACCAGGUAUUGGAUUUCAUCUGUGACAAUGUCUCUCUUUAUUUCCACAGUGGUCUCUGCUGCUGUAGACUGCAGUGUCCUCAGCCCUGUCCCUGCUCUGUCUCCUGCUGCAGUGUCCCCAGCCCUGUCUCCUGCUCUGUCUCCUGCUGCAGUGUCCCCAGCCCUGUCUCCUGCUUCAGACUGAACUUUUCCCAGCCCUGUCCCUGCUGUGACUGAACUGUCCACAGCCCUGUCUCUGACUCUGAAAAAGGACCACUUCACCAAAAUACAGCAAGUACAAUAUGGACAAUGGGGGACUUUCCUUAGGCUUGUUAACAACCAAAUUAAUUAUUUGCUGCUGA